GACAUAGGUGGCGAACGUUAUCCGGAAUUAUUGGGCGUAAAGGAUGCGUAGAUGGCAGAGUAAGUUACUGGUUGAUGUCAAACUCAAUUUGCCGGAAGCUGGUAAUACUGUUUUGCUAGAGGACAGGAGAGGUUGAUGGAAUUCUGUGUGGAGCGGUGAAAUGCGUUGAUCUACAGAGGAACACCAAAAAAGGCGAAGGCAGUUAACUAUACUGUACCUGACAUUGAGGCAUGAAAGCGUGGGGAGCAAACCGG
RNAcentral lists this ribosomal RNA (254 nucleotides) under uncultured bacterium. Its description in RNAcentral is "partial 16S ribosomal RNA". It matches the Rfam family "Bacterial small subunit ribosomal RNA", at positions 524 to 776 of the family's 1533-position model. The record is from RNAcentral.